UUUGCUGCACUGAAGAUG
Molecule: microRNA, 18 nt
Filed under: Gallus gallus (chicken)
Lineage: Eukaryota; Metazoa; Chordata; Aves; Galliformes; Phasianidae
Description: gga-miR-6684-5p
Source: miRBase by way of RNAcentral